Molecule: transfer RNA, 59 nt
Filed under: Salmo salar (Atlantic salmon)
Lineage: Eukaryota; Metazoa; Chordata; Actinopteri; Salmoniformes; Salmonidae
Source: Rfam by way of RNAcentral
UGGCUCGCUUGGUUAGAGCAUGGCACAUGCAAUGCCAAGGUUGUGGGUUCAAUUCCCGU